AUGGUAGAAUGCUUCAAUAAGGUGCUCAAGGGUGUAGGUGCAUUACCCGUGACAGCAAUAGUUCAAUACACAUUUGACAAGAUGAAUGAAUACUUUUUAAAGCACUCAAUGGAGACUGAUAAGCAAAUUGCUGGUGAGAACAAGGAUAAGCACAAGUACAAUUUCCCACCAAAGGUUAAAGAAUGGUUGGAAUUUCAAUCACGAAAGGAAGACUUCGAAUAAGCUAUACUAUAUGACGACAACAAGUGGAAGUAUGAGGUGAAAGAGCCCGGAGGAACCACAAACGAUGGCCACCAACACGGAGGCCGGGCUUUCAAGGUCUCCCUAACACGGUGUGAUUGCAGCUGCAUGAGGUGGUCUUUGCUUCAUCUCCCAUGCUCGCACUUGUUAAAUGCAUCCCGGGUUAGGAAUGUGGACGUCAAUCACCCUCUUACCGUGAGGGAGUCCGAGUUUUCAAUCAUGACCGUAAAGAAUACAUGGACUCCACGGUUCCAGCCAUACUUGGACCAAUCACAAUGGCCGGAGUAUCAUGGAGUUCAACUAUGGCCGGACCCGGAAUUGAAGGUCGUUAGACGGGGGAGACGUAAGACAAAGCGGAACUCAACCGCCCAGUUGCAUAUCAGUGGGCACCGCAUAAGCCAGAGAUCCUUAUCCCGCAAGCACAUCGGGUUGAGGCGGAACUCCGCGGUGUACCCCAAGCUCUCACCCGCGCCAUAUGGCUGCCAUUCCACCUAUGAAACAGGGCAACAAUGCAAAUUUGAUGACUAUUUUUCAAGCAAGCAUGAGAAAGGACUGAAGUAA
This 801-nucleotide ribosomal RNA is filed under the name Triticum aestivum (bread wheat). Its description in RNAcentral is "partial small subunit ribosomal RNA". Lineage: Eukaryota; Viridiplantae; Streptophyta; Magnoliopsida; Poales; Poaceae. The record is from RNAcentral.